This 71-nucleotide transfer RNA is filed under the name Cordylochernes scorpioides. Its description in RNAcentral is "tRNA-Gly". It matches the Rfam family "tRNA". From Rfam's summary of the family: Transfer RNA (tRNA) molecules are approximately 80 nucleotides in length. Their secondary structure includes four short double-helical elements and three loops (D, anti-codon, and T loops). Lineage: Eukaryota; Metazoa; Arthropoda; Arachnida; Pseudoscorpiones; Chernetidae. The record is from RNAcentral.
GCAUCGGUGGCUUAGUGGUAGAAUGCUCGCCUGCCACCCGGGCGGCCCUGGUUCGAUUCCCGGCCGAUGCA